GAGACAAGCCUCACAGUGGUUCGGAAUUUCGUUCGGAGCAUCGAUUUCGAGAGUAAAUGCAUUCCGAUUCAGAUGGUCAUUCGGUUGCUCGACGAGGCGAUGACCAAGCAUGUAAGGGAAUCGGGAUGGAAUUUAUAAAAGUUCGGGGAAAAUCACAAUAUUUUGGCGCGAAAAAAAUGCAAAAAAAUUGCACAAAAAUCACAAUUUUCGAGCUCUAAAACUAAAAAAAAUUUUUAUUUUUCAAAAAAAAAUUCCAGAAAUUACACGACGACGACCUUGUGCUCGAAUUUAUUCAAGGAAGUGAAGCUCUUCUUCCCCAAUCCCGUCCACUGAAGCUUCUGGAUGAUCUUUUCAAGCUCUAUGUCAAUCCAGAUGUCUUUGCGAUUCGAAAGCCUGAAGCAUGGCUGU
This 408-nucleotide small RNA is filed under the name Caenorhabditis elegans. RNAcentral's name for it is "Unclassified non-coding RNA R05H10.8". The record is from RNAcentral. Lineage: Eukaryota; Metazoa; Nematoda; Chromadorea; Rhabditida; Rhabditidae.